UUACAGGCGUGUCUGCAGGGACGACCUCACCAACUCCUACCUUGGAUGCUGCACAAAAGGCCAGCUCCCAUGGCAGGGGUCCUCUGACAGGAGAGACCAAAGACAUGGCAGGCAGGAAAUUCCAGGACCCAUUAGAAAUCAUGUGGCAAAUGCUGAAGGAACGUCUGCAGAGAAGACAAGAAAUGAAAGGAGAGCCUGCGCAGAAGGAAGUAUUUCCCGGAGGAAGCAGUGGUUCCGUGCCAGCCUCUGCUGAAGGAAGGGAGGCCAUGCCAGGCACAGGCACAGGAGGUAAUUGCUGUGCCUCUGGGCCUGAGCCCUGCUGAGGCUUGAGCUGCCCUCUCUGCUGCUUGGCAGUGCGGGCACAGCCUGGAUUGGACCGGCACAGCCCAGGGGAAUUAUCCCGAGCAGGCUCAGGGCACUCGGGUCCUGAAGGAGUGUAGGGGGAUGCCCCCAAUGAGAGAGGGACAAACUAGCCUUUGUCCCCCAAAAAAAGGAAGUAGGCCCAGAAGUUUCUCCCAGCGAUCAGGUGAAAAGCCACCUUAUAGGACCCCAGAGACUUCACUAAAACCUUGGGGUCACCUAAUUGGAUGAGAGCCAAAAGAUCCCGCCUGGGCCAUCAGGUAGAAAAAGAGAAGACAAAAGAAUGACGAGGCUUUUGUGAAGGUGUUUUACCAGGAGCAGACCUCUGUACCUGGAUCGGAUUUUCUGUUUAUUGUUUUUCCUUUUAUUAAACAGUUUUGUUUACAACACUGCAGCAGAAGCCAUCCUGCUCAUUAUUUGCCUCCAAAGGUAAUAGCCAGGCUAUUCUUUGGGUAUUAAGUUCUCUUUUAAAGGCUCAUAAAACCCUGGCCCGACAAAACAAAACUUAAUACGUGGCGCCUGGACAGAAUUUCUCAUAUUGAGGAAGAUGGUCUAGGAAUUUUUGAUUACCUCAAUCAAAAUAGGACAAUUUUCCUUGGUAUUUGCGUUUUUGGGGAAGCAGGCCUGCACCUGAGUUUUUGUCGCAUUAAAAAAGAAAACUCAGAAGAAGAGAUUUGAGGUUUAGAGGAGAUCUCAAAUCGAAGCCUCAUACCGGUGAAGAAGAGGCUAUAAUUCAGACGGGACGGGAGCAAACGGCACACACCCUCAGAGGAUACUGUGAAUCGGCUAAGCUGAAACUGUUGCACCCAGGACCCGGGAAAAAGUCUAUACCAAGAAGGACGACCAGAAGACUCGGUGAGUUUCACCAUGGGGAAUCGGUUGUCAGUAGCUGAGCAGGAAUUUUUUUCGUAUUUUAAUUAUAAGUUGGAAAUCCAAGAUAUUCAGUUUGACAAAAAACAGCUUAAAAAGCUUGUAAAAUGGGUCUUAAAGGAGUUCCCAAACUCAGACAUGUCUCAGAAACUCGAUCCAGACUUCUGGGAUUCAGUUGGACUGAAAUUAUAUAACACAGAAAAGAACAAGAAGUCCAACUUAAAGCUGCGUCCAAUAUUCAGGACGGUGUUGAAAUUUGUAAUAAUGGAAAAUGAAAAGCAAGCAAAGACCAGGGAGAGGGCAGAAUGCAGGCAGGACAGAGAAGACAGGAGAAAGCGAAGUUCUGAGGGGACUCAAAAACCUUCCUUUAUCCCAGCCGAGAAACCCCGGUGGAGAGGCCGGGAGGCAGCCAGGCCAGCUGCCCCCCCGCCUGCCUCACCGCCCCCAUCCCGAGACAGGGGGGAGCAGACCAGCCCUGGCCAGGCUUGUCUGCAAAACCCGUCUUCCAAAAACCCUACCAGAGCAAAGUCCUCUAUAUCUCCUCUCAAAACCUUGCUUUGGCGUUCAAAAUCGGUGAAUUUUGACAGUAAAACUGAAAAAAGCCGAGCCGAUAGAAUCCAGUCUGAGAACAAUAGAGCACGUGGCAAUCGCCAUUAUAGCCCCG
Passer domesticus (house sparrow) is the source of this 1894-nucleotide long non-coding RNA. RefSeq lists it as uncharacterized. The record is from RefSeq and is a predicted model, not a curated record. The transcript has 3 exons. Lineage: Eukaryota; Metazoa; Chordata; Aves; Passeriformes; Passeridae.